AGAGUUUGAUCAUGGCUCAGGACGAACGCUGGCGGCGUGCUUAACACAUGCAAGUCGAACGCUGAAGCUCAGCUUGCUGGGUGGAUGAGUGGCGAACGGGUGAGUAACACGUGAGUAACCUCGCCCCUUCUUUGGGAUAACGCCCGGAACGGGUGCUAAUACUGGAUAUUCACUGAUCUUCGCAUGGGGGUUGGUGGAAAGGUUUUUCUGGUGGGGGAUGGGCUCGCGGCCUAUCAGCUUGUUGGUGGGGUGAUGGCCUACCAAGGCUUUGACGGGUAGCCGGCCUGAGAGGGUGACCGGUCACAUUGGGACUGAGAUACGGCCCAGACUCCUACGGGAGGCAGCA
RNAcentral lists this ribosomal RNA (346 nucleotides) under uncultured bacterium. RNAcentral describes it as "bacterial SSU rRNA". It matches the Rfam family "Bacterial small subunit ribosomal RNA", at positions 8 to 353 of the family's 1533-position model. The record is from RNAcentral.